GUCCUGUCACCGGUUCGGUUGCAGAGAAUAAACAACCUGUGUGUCAGGCACGCUGACAGAGGGGUUUUCAUCAGCCCUGGGUGGGAGGUGCCUUGUGCACCUGAGGGGCUACCGGGACUCAGUGACAAAGCUAAGAAAGAUUCGAACCCAGGAAGCUGAUGCUGGGUGUUCAUUUUGUGCUGCUGCAGCUCUGGAUGCUGAACAGAGGAGGAAGAAGGGAAGAGAGCCUGGGCAGCUGGCUGGGAAAAGGCAGAGGGUGCUUUCCUGUCGCUGCCUGCUCUUGCUAAGCAUUGGGAGAAGAGGGAGAAUGUGGAAGGAGAGUGCACACCUGGGAGCUGCAUCCACUGGCUGACCAGCAGCUUGGAGCUGAAGCUCAAAGAGAAGUUCUGGAAGGCCUCAAACCAAGCAUCGGAUGAGGCUCUCAUCCCACCCCCCA
This is a long non-coding RNA of Heterocephalus glaber (naked mole-rat), 436 nucleotides long. The record is from Ensembl. NCBI's taxonomy places the organism in Eukaryota, Metazoa, Chordata, Mammalia, Rodentia, Bathyergidae.